This is a long non-coding RNA of Mobula hypostoma (lesser devil ray), 1312 nucleotides long. RefSeq lists it as uncharacterized. Lineage: Eukaryota; Metazoa; Chordata; Chondrichthyes; Myliobatiformes; Myliobatidae. The transcript has 5 exons. The record is from RefSeq and is a predicted model, not a curated record.
CUCGCGGCUGUUGCGCCGCACCCUCCGUGUGUUGUGAACCCUUCUGUUUCUGGGAUGAGGUCUCCAAAUCUGAGCCAGGCAUUCGGCGCUUCCUUGUUGACAUCUGGUCUGCUCGGAUCAAGGGAAUGUCUUCCAUAACCGGUUUUGGACCAAGAUACUAUGGCAAAAGAAUACAUUAACAUAGGUCAACUUGAAGAUUAAAUGGUACAUGAAGCCCAAAAUGUCAGAAGGCAUACGCAGUAAAUCCAAGAAACGCAAUAGAAUCCAUGAAAGACCAUAUCCAACAGGACGGCCAAAUGACCAAUGCACAAAAGACAAUGAACUGUGCAAAAAAAAACAAACAAAAUAAUAAAUAAGCAUUAAAUAUAAAGAACAUGAGAUGAAGAGUCCUUGAAAGUAAGUCCUUAGGUUGUGGGAACAUUUCGAUGAUAGAGCAAAUGAAGUUGAGUAAAGUUAUCCCCUCGGUUUCAGGAGCCUGAUGGUUGUUCCUGGGCCGGGUGGUGUGAGUCCUGAGGCUCCUGUACCUUAUUCCUGCUUGCAGCAGUGAGAAGAGAGCCUGAUCUGAGUGGUGCGAGUCCUUGAAGAUGGCUCUUGCUUUCCGGCGACAGUGCUCUGUGUAGACGUUCUCAAUGGGUGGGAGGGCUUUACCCAUGAUGGACCGCAGCAUAUCCUCUAUUAUUUGUAAGUUUUUCCAUUCAAGAGCAUUGGUAUUUUCAUACCAAGCCAUGAUGCAUCCAGUCAGUAUAAGGUACUCUCCACCACACAUUUUCAGAAGUUUGUCAAAGUUUUAGAUGUCAUACUGAACCUUUGCAAACUUCUAAACAGAGGUGCUGCCGUGCUUUCUUUGUAACAACACUUGCAUGCUGGACCCAGGAUAGAUCCUCUGAAAUGAGAACAUCUCUGGAUGGAAUUUCUGAAAGUUCCACUCAAGUGGUGCUAAAGUAGGGCAACCAGAAACCUAUAUCUUCUGGAAUUAGCCAUAGAAAUGGAGUGUGCAAUACAUGUUGCCAGUGCACAUGUCCUGGGUCCUCUGUGUGUUACAUAGUAGAAACUGGAAUAAAAGUUAUGAGUCUUCACAACUUAAUGUUUCACUUAUUUGAACUCUAUAUAUCACCAAAAACAUAGCAUCAAGUUGUUUAUAGUCUGGACAAUCUUUUCUCCAGUAACAUUGAAAAAGCAGUGAGAAAUAAACUGAAGAAAAUGUCUGCUCUUGUCCUCAUUUUGCUGGACUGAGGGAGGAAGUGAAUGUGUAUGGUGGUGUUGGGUUGGGUGCCAGCCACUGAGAACAUUAAAAUGGAAAAAAUAUUGCAUG